UCGGGAAUUUUGGGCAAUGGGGGAAACCCUGACCCAGCAACGCCGCGUGAAGGAUGAAGUAUUUCGGUAUGUAAACUUCGAAAGAAUAGGAAGAAUAAAUGACGGUACUAUUUAUAAGGUCCGGCUAACUACGUGCCAGCAGCCGCGGUAAUACGUAGGGACCAAGCGUUGUUCGGAUUUACUGGGCGUAAAGGGCGCGUAGGCGGCAUGACAAGUCACUUGUGAAAUCUCUGGGCUUAACCCAGAACGGCCAAGUGAAACUGUCAUGCUAGAGUGCAGAAGGGGCAAUCGGAAUUCUUGGUGUAGCGGUGAAAUGCGUAGAUAUCAAGAGGAACACCUGAGGUGAAGACGGGUUGCUGGGCUGACACUGACGCUGAGGCGCGAAAGCCAGGGGAGCAAACGGGAUUAGAUACCCCCGUAGUCCCUGAGCGGGCUGGCAAGGCGCAU
Molecule: ribosomal RNA, 447 nt
Filed under: uncultured bacterium
Lineage: Bacteria
Description: bacterial SSU rRNA
Rfam family: Bacterial small subunit ribosomal RNA
Source: RNAcentral